GAACGAUAGAUGAGAGCUUGCUCUCAUCGAAAGUGGCGCACGGGUGCGUAACGCGUAUGCAACCUACCUUUAUCAGGGGGAUAGCCCGGAGAAAUCCGGAUUAAUACCGCAUAAUAUCAUUUUAUAGCAUUAUAUUAUGAUCAAACAUUUAUGGGAUAAAGAUGGGCAUGCGUGUCAUUAGCUAGUUGGCGGGGUAACGGCCCACCAAGGCGACGAUGACUAGGGGAUCUGAGAGGAUGGCCCCCCACACUGGUACUGAGACACGGACCAGACUCCUACGGGAGGCAGCAGUAAGGAAUAUUGGUCAAUGGAGGCAACUCUGAACCAGCCAUGCCGCGUGCAGGAAGACUGCCCUAUGGGUUGUAAACUGCUUUUAUCCGGGAAUAAACCUACUUACGUGUAAGUAGCUGAAUGUACCGGAAGAAUAAGGAUCGGCUAACUCCGUGCCAGCAGCCGCGGUAAUAC
RNAcentral lists this ribosomal RNA (465 nucleotides) under Pedobacter roseus. RNAcentral describes it as "bacterial SSU rRNA". It matches the Rfam family "Bacterial small subunit ribosomal RNA", at positions 64 to 526 of the family's 1533-position model. The record is from RNAcentral. Lineage: Bacteria; Pseudomonadati; Bacteroidota; Sphingobacteriia; Sphingobacteriales; Sphingobacteriaceae.